This 433-nucleotide ribosomal RNA is filed under the name uncultured bacterium. RNAcentral describes it as "partial 16S ribosomal RNA". It matches the Rfam family "Bacterial small subunit ribosomal RNA", at positions 29 to 507 of the family's 1533-position model. The record is from RNAcentral.
AACGAACGCUGGCGGCAUGCCUAACACAUGCAAGUCGAACGAGACCUUCGGGGCUAGUGGCGCACGGGUGAGUAACGCGUGGGAACGUGCCCUUAGGUUCGGAAUAACUCCGCGAAAGGGGUGCUAAUACCGGAUAAUGUCUUCGGACCAAAGAUUUAUCGCCUUUGGAUGGGCCCGCGUUGGAUUAGCUAGUUGGUAGGGUAAAAGCCUACCAAGGCGACGAUCCAUAGCUGGUCUGAGAGGAUGAUCAGCCACACUGGGACUGAGACACGGCCCAAACUCCUACGGGAGGCAGCAGUGGGGAAUCUUGCACAAUGGGCGAAAGCCUGAUCCAGCAAUGCCGCGUGAAUGAUGAAGGUCUUAGGGUUGUAAAACUCUUUUACCCGGGAUGAUAAUGACAGUACCGGGAGAAUAAGCCCCGGCUAACUCCGUG